AUUGAACGCUGGCGGCAGGCCUAACACAUGCAAGUCGAGCGGAUGAAGGGAGCUUGCUCCUGGAUUCAGCGGCGGACGGGUGAGUAAUGCCUAGGAAUCUGCCUGGUAUUGGGGGAUAACGUCCGGAAACGGGCGCUAAUACUUCAUACGUCCUGAUGGAGAAAGUGGGGGAUCUUCGGACCUCACGCUAUCAUAUGAGCCUAGGUCGUAUUAGCUAGUUGGUGGGGUAAAGGCCUACCAAGGCGACGAUCCGUAACUGGUCUGAGAGGAUGAUCAGUCACACUGGAACGGAGACACGGUCCAGACUACUACGGGAGGCAGCAGUGGGGAAUAUUGGACAAUGGGCGAAAGCAUGAUCCAGCCAUGCCGCGUGUGUGAAGAAGGUCUUCGGAUUGUAAAGCACUUUAAGUUGGGAGGAAGGGAAGUAAGUUAAUACCUUGCUGUUUUGACGUUACCAAAAGAAUAAGCACCGGCUAACUUCGUG
Molecule: ribosomal RNA, 484 nt
Filed under: uncultured bacterium
Lineage: Bacteria
Description: partial 16S ribosomal RNA
Rfam family: Bacterial small subunit ribosomal RNA
Source: RNAcentral